This is a long non-coding RNA of Brienomyrus brachyistius, 1564 nucleotides long. RefSeq lists it as uncharacterized. Lineage: Eukaryota; Metazoa; Chordata; Actinopteri; Osteoglossiformes; Mormyridae. The transcript is spliced from 3 exons. The record is from RefSeq and is a predicted model, not a curated record.
UGCUAAUUUAGAAACAUUUUCCGGCGGGGGGGUUAGACCUGUCCAUGAUUAUAAGCAAGCUUGUCAAAUUGGGUCAGCUGGGCCGUAUGAGAUUUUUACUUCGACACACCCAUUACCAUUUAUUUAGGAAUUGUAUCGCCUUGUAGUCUGUAGGGUUUGCAAACCACCCCAAACGCUUUGGACGUAGCUGAUUUUAUGUUUAUAAUGGGAUAUGGAUUUACCGUAUGAUUGCUCGCCUGAGCGAGACGCCAGAUGCAGCAUGAACGUGGACUGUCUGGGUUUCCCAGAUGACUGAGUUGGGAAAACACUGCUCUAGGGUGCCCUUCCAAGUGCCCCUGCAAUGGAGAGAAAAAAAACAUAGCAGGUGGCCCUCAGAGAAAAGACAUUGAUUGGCAAAGGUUAAUGAUGCUGACCAAUCUGCUACAGAGGACUGCCAAGCCCAAAUCCUGGAGGAGCAGCUGCACUGGGGGUUCAUGCGGAAUGAUGACACCCCAACUUGGUCAGUCCUCUCAGGUUGUCACUGCCUUACUGUGUAAAGUCAUUGAAAAGUCAGGGCAACACUCGUGUCAUAUAUGUCAGGCAUGUAUGCCAAUUUAAUGAUGCAGAGGAAGAAAAUGUUUGUGAGGAAAUAAGACUAUCUGCUCUUCUGCUGCCGUCAAGAGGGGGACACCCCGAAUGUUCACAGGGGGGGGUCACUGACACUUCAAGGCAUGGCCCUCAAUAUACUACCCCUCAUCUCCUUUCCCCACUAACCUCCCAAAUACAUUUGUGUGUGCGCAUGUGCUUUUGUGAAAUGACUGUUCCAAAUGGUAAUUCUCCCCUGUGUGUGUGUAAAUACUUGAGAUUUUAAUUAAGCAUUCAAGUUUAUAGCUCCCUGUGUGACUUUGUAACAGAAGUGUAGUUAUACUUUGUCAGCAAAUGAAAUUCUUAAUGGAGUUAAACACUACUUCACCACACAUACCGUACCAUUCUCCUCACACCAGCAGAGGGAUGCCUUCGUCAUUUAUUUUUCCGCUGCCCUCCAAACAGCCCGCGUCCAUCAGUGUGUGAAUGUCGCGUAACCUCUUAUUUUCAACAACACAGUGCAGAUGCAAGUCUUUGCAAAUAAAACAGGCAGUGAAUAUCGUUAUCCAUUUAGCUCGGUCACGACUGCUUGGAAGUACGUUUGAAGUAGUCUCAGGGGUUUAAAUGCCUUGCAUGCAUAGGUGCAUUUUUAAGAUCGUUCAACUAGGGGUGGAGUCAGGAAAGAGCAUGCAGAUGUUACCAGUCAGGGCUGGGUUGGCUAUCUAGAGGGCACCAGGAACAAUUCAUAUACAAAUAUAAAUUAUAAAAUCAAAUCACACUACGGUUUGAAGGAGCAACCUCAACUUUUAUUAUAUUCACAGAGCCUUCAAUACACACAACAGCCCAUAAGUGUUAGGAUUACCAUUUCCCACAAUGAAACUCGUUUUCCCAUCUACUCUACAAAUUGGAAUUGGGCGCCUUCAAGAAUGUCAUUCACAGAUGAUGGAAAUAGCUGCAUAUAAUUUCUACAUGAGUAACAAAAAGGGGGGGGGGGGGGGGG